Molecule: unclassified non-coding RNA, 460 nt
Filed under: Hyalosperma zacchaeus
Lineage: Eukaryota; Viridiplantae; Streptophyta; Magnoliopsida; Asterales; Asteraceae
Description: partial external transcribed spacer
Source: RNAcentral
GGCAGGUGGCUUUUGAGCUGGGUGGUUUCUGGAAUGUUUACCGUAAAGGUGCAUGAGUGGUGUUUGGCUUGUUACGGGUGGUUGGCUCUUUGCUUGCGCAACAACUUCCACCCGACAUGCCUCUUCAGUUUUGUUUUAAUGCUUCUAUAUAGUAUUGAACAUAUUGUGGGUUUCUUGUGUUGCAUUCCUAAAUGAAGGCAUCGUUUGAAAAAUUGCUGCUAUUUUCAUGUUGUGUUGCUUAUGUGAUGCGAGAUGAACUUCGAAGCAACGAUUGUUAUCUGCUCUUUUUGAUGCAAUGCAUUGAUUUUGUGGCUCAACGAUUGUUGCUUGGUCUCAUUUAUAUGGAACCUUUUGUGGGCAUGUGAUCUUUUAGUAGCUCCUUGCGUUUGCCCCUAGUAAAGCUCAUCAAAUACGAUUGUCUACCGCGUCUUAAUGCGGUAGGCUAUAUCGAAUAUGAAUG